Molecule: ribosomal RNA, 439 nt
Filed under: Enterobacter sp.
Lineage: Bacteria; Pseudomonadati; Pseudomonadota; Gammaproteobacteria; Enterobacterales; Enterobacteriaceae
Description: bacterial SSU rRNA
Rfam family: Bacterial small subunit ribosomal RNA
Source: RNAcentral
UACCUACUCUUGACAUCCAGAGAACUUUCCAGAGAUGGAUUGGUGCCUUCGGGAAUUCUGAGACAGGUGCUGCAUGGCGGUCGUCAGUUCGUGUUGUGAAAUGUUGGGUUAAGUCCCGCAACGAGCGCAACCCUUAUCCUUUGUUGCCAGCGGUUAGGCCGGGAACUCAAAGGAGACUGCCAGUGAUAAACUGGAGGAAGGUGGGGAUGACGUCAAGUCAUCAUGGCCCUUACGAGUAGGGCUACACACGUGCUACAAUGGCGCAUACAAAGAGAAGCGACCUCGCGAGAGCAAGCGGACCUCAUAAAGUGCGUCGUAGUCCGGAUUGGAGUCUGCAACUCGACUCCAUGAAGUCGGAAUCGCUAGUAAUCGUGGAUCAGAAUGCCACGUUGUUUUACGUUCUCCGGGCCUUGUACACCCCCCCCGUCACACCCAUGGG